GAUGAAGAACGUAGCGAAAUGCGAUAAGUAAUGUGAAUUGCAGAAUUCAGUGAAUCAUUGAAUCUUUGAACGCACAUUGCGCCCGCCAGUAUUCUGGCGGGCAUGCCUGUUCGAGCGUCAUUACAACCCUCAGGCCCCCGGGCCUGGCGUUGGGGAUCGGCGGAAGCCCCCUGUGGGCACACGCCGUCCCUCAAAUACAGUGGCGGUCCCGCCGCAGCUUCCAUUGCGUAGUAGCUAACACCUCGCAACUGGAGAGCGGCGCGGCCAUGCCGUAAAACACCCAACUUCUGAAUGUUGACCUCGAAUCAGGUAGGAAUACCCGCUGAACUUAAGCAUAUCAAUAAGCGGAGGA
Molecule: unclassified non-coding RNA, 352 nt
Filed under: soil metagenome
Description: partial contains 5.8S ribosomal RNA, internal transcribed spacer 2, and large subunit ribosomal RNA
Rfam family: 5.8S ribosomal RNA (bases 1-120)
Source: RNAcentral